GUAGGGAAUAUUGGGCAAUGGAUGCAAGUCUGACCCAGCCAUCCCGCGUGCCGGAAGAAGGCCCCCAGGGUUGUAAACGGCUUUUGACGGUGAAGAAUCGACAGGAUGCGUCCUGUUUUGACGGUAGCCGUUGAAUAAGCACCGGCUAACUCCGUGCCAGCAGCCGCGGUAAUACGGAGGGUGCGAGCGUUGUCCGGAUUUAUUGGGUUUAAAGGGUGCGUAGGCUGGAAGGUCAGUCAGCGGUGAAAAGCUGUCGCUUAACGAUAGUCUUGCCGCAGAUACUUCCUUUCUUGGAUGAGGAGGAGGCCACUGGAACGGAUGGUGUAGCGGUGAAAUGCAUAGAUAGCAUCCAGAACACCGAUUGCGAAGGCAGGUGGCUGUACCUUAAUCGACGCUGAUGCACGAAAGCAUGGGGAGCAAACAGGAUUAGAAACCCUUGUAGUCC
RNAcentral lists this ribosomal RNA (445 nucleotides) under uncultured bacterium. RNAcentral describes it as "partial 16S ribosomal RNA". It matches the Rfam family "Bacterial small subunit ribosomal RNA", at positions 354 to 796 of the family's 1533-position model. The record is from RNAcentral.